AAUUUAAAAUUGAGUUCUAUAUGCAAUAAUUCUGUCUGUGAUGCGUGAUUACUAAAUGCAGUACUAUAGAAAGGACUUAAAUGACUUGGUUUAUUUUGUAGAGAAUAAAAAUAACUUAAAAGUACAUAUCGUGUCCUCAGUUCAGAUGGAUGUCCAGUGUCUAUGGUCGUCUCUGCCCCUGGACUUGGUCAAAGCUCCUCAGCAGAUGUUUCAGAGAAUCCUGAGGCGUUUAGAACAAGUUCAGGGUUCUGGACUCUUUUUGACAACUACAAUGCAUCUUAAGUUAAAACAUUUGCUCUGUUCUGUGAAGACAGAUCAACAAGCUGCUUGAGACAACGCACAAAUCCA
RNAcentral lists this microRNA precursor (348 nucleotides) under Salvelinus alpinus (Arctic char). Its description in RNAcentral is "sal-nov-334". The record is from RNAcentral. Lineage: Eukaryota; Metazoa; Chordata; Actinopteri; Salmoniformes; Salmonidae.